Molecule: unclassified non-coding RNA, 269 nt
Filed under: Thelonectria lucida
Lineage: Eukaryota; Fungi; Ascomycota; Sordariomycetes; Hypocreales; Nectriaceae
Description: partial contains 5.8S ribosomal RNA, internal transcribed spacer 2, and large subunit ribosomal RNA
Source: RNAcentral
CGCACAUUGCGCCCGCCAGUAUUCUGGCGGGCAUGCCUGUUCGAGCGUCAUUACAACCCUCAAGCCCCCCGGGCUUGGUGUUGGGGAUCGGGAUCCCGGUCGGGCUCUGCCCGCCCGCCCCGUCCCCCAAAUGCAUCGGCGGUCACGCCGCGGCCUCUUGCGCGUAGUAGCAACACCUCGCACAGGGAAGCCGCCGUGGUCCACGCCGCAAAACCCCCGACUUUCACAAAGUUGACCUCGAAUCAGGUAGGACUACCCGCUGAACUUAA